UACGAAGGGGGCUAGCGUUGCUCGGAAUCACUGGGCGUAAAGCGCACGUAGGCGGAUUGUUAAGUCAGGGGUGAAAUCCUGGAGCUCAACUCCAGAACUGCCUUUGAUACUGGCGAUCUUGAGUCCGGGAGAGGUGAGUGGAACUGCGAGUGUAGAGGUGAAAUUCGUAGAUAUUCGCAAGAACACCAGUGGCGAAGGCGGCUCACUGGCCCAGUACUGACGCUGAGGUGCGAAAGCGUGGGGAGCAAACAGG
This 253-nucleotide ribosomal RNA is filed under the name uncultured bacterium. RNAcentral describes it as "partial 16S ribosomal RNA". It matches the Rfam family "Bacterial small subunit ribosomal RNA", at positions 524 to 776 of the family's 1533-position model. The record is from RNAcentral.